Oryza barthii is the source of this 266-nucleotide non-coding RNA. Lineage: Eukaryota; Viridiplantae; Streptophyta; Magnoliopsida; Poales; Poaceae. The record is from Rfam.
GAUUUCAACUGAAAAAGUCAUAAACAACAAAGUUGUAUAACUCAUUAAGAUCUAUAACUUUUAUUUUGGUCAUUUCUUCAUCCGACAAAGUGAUAGUAACAUUGUUCAUAAAAUUUACAUCUCUCUCUUAUAAAACUAUAAGAGAGAUGUAAAUUUUAUGAACAAUGUUACUAUCACUUUGUCAGAUGAAGAAAUGACCAAAAUAAAAGUUGUAUGUCUUGAUGAGUUAUACAACUUUUAUGUUCAUGACUUUUUCAGCUGAAUUU